CGUACCUGCCUCUGGCUUCUGAUGGGUGGAGCUGCAGCGUUUUGCCCUCAUUACACAAGUGCAUGUGGUCCUCCUGCAUGCCUCCGUGUUACUCCCACAGACCUCAGCUACGUGAAAGAGCAGCAACGCUGCACCCCCUCCCUCUGCUGUGCCGCCUCCUAUCCUGUAAUUCUCCGUGGGUCAGACAUCUGUAAGCAUUUCUCUCAGACCACGAGAGGAAAAUAGAAAGUUGGAAGCUACAGGCUGUGAUUUGGGUGUGUAUAAAUAAAGUUGCGAGCAAAGGAAAAGAUGCUAAUAUGAUGGGAGUCCAGAAGGUGGGAGGUUGGCAGGAGCGGGACACCCAAGUCUUCAAAGACGGGAAAUGAGCUGCAGGAGGACAAACGGAGCCUCUCGAGGAUUUCAUGAAAGGCAUGAAAGGAAGUCGAAAGAGCCCUGAGACGAGCCCAGGUGGACGAGCAGGAGGACGAGCAGGACGACGGCCAGGAGUGGAAUGAGUAGAUUCCAGCCGGCUGCCAGGAUGUUGUACCACUUGGCCUUGUCCGAACACUCCUGAGCCAGCUGCAGGUUGCCCUGAGUCUUCUGGUCCCUGGCCUGCAAAGAUGCAUGUGCACAAAUUCACAUUAAAACAUCCAGAGAAGUCAGUUUUAACCAAUAAUGGAGAUAUGAAGAAUCUCUUCAGUGUCGUAAUUCUUGUUGGAGACCUGACGACUUUAAAGCUUUGCCUGUACCACAUAUAGGGAAAAAAAAUCUGAGUUCACUGUAAAUAAAGGAG
Long non-coding RNA from Archocentrus centrarchus (flier cichlid), 772 nucleotides. RefSeq lists it as uncharacterized. The record is from RefSeq and is a predicted model, not a curated record. Lineage: Eukaryota; Metazoa; Chordata; Actinopteri; Cichliformes; Cichlidae. The transcript has 3 exons.